GAUGAACGCUGGCGGCGUGCUUAACACAUACAAGUCGAACGGAAAGGCCCAAGCUUGCUUGGGUACUCGAGUGGCGAACGGGUGAGUAACACGUGGGUGAUCUGCCCUGCACUUCGGGAUAAGCCUGGGAAACUGGGUCUAAUACCGGAUAGGACGAUGGUUUGGAUGCCAUUGUGGAAAGUUUUUUCGGUGUGGGAUGAGCUCGCGGCCUAUCAGCUUGUUGGUGGGGUAAUGGCCUACCAAGGCGUCGACGGGUAGCCGGCCUGAGAGGGUGUACGGCCACAUUGGGACUGAGAUACGGCCCAGACUCCUACGGGAGGCAGCAGUGGGGAAUAUUGCACAAUGGGCGCAAGCCUGAUGCAGCGACGCCGCGUGGGGGAUGACGGCCUUCGGGUUGUAAACUCCUUUCGCUAGGGACGAAGCGUUUUUGUGACGGUACCUGGAGAAGAAGCACCGGCUAACUACGUG
RNAcentral lists this ribosomal RNA (468 nucleotides) under uncultured bacterium. RNAcentral describes it as "partial 16S ribosomal RNA". It matches the Rfam family "Bacterial small subunit ribosomal RNA", at positions 28 to 507 of the family's 1533-position model. The record is from RNAcentral.